Molecule: long non-coding RNA, 267 nt
Organism: Rana temporaria (common frog)
Lineage: Eukaryota; Metazoa; Chordata; Amphibia; Anura; Ranidae
Exons: 3
Source: RefSeq, a predicted model, not a curated record
UUCUUUUUUAAAAAAAUCUCUACGCUGUCUAUCCUCCGUAUUCCCAGGACUUCACAAAGGAAGAUCCCAGCAUCUCUCAGGAUGAAGAACUGAAAGGCAUCAAAGUUGAGGUAAAAGAGGAAGAAGAAGAGACUAUGGUGAGUGGAGAUCAGCAGUCUAUGGUCAAGCAGCAGAUGAUUAUGAAAAGUGAACAGGCGGAAUCUUCACUUUAUAUCGACACAUCACCGGAUGGAUCCAGUAAUGGGAACCCACCAGAGAGAUGUCCCC